This is a long non-coding RNA of Saccostrea cuccullata (small rock oyster), 242 nucleotides long. RefSeq lists it as uncharacterized. The transcript is spliced from 3 exons. The record is from RefSeq and is a predicted model, not a curated record. Lineage: Eukaryota; Metazoa; Mollusca; Bivalvia; Ostreida; Ostreidae.
AUGUUUAGCGUCAAUCCAGUGAACGAAUAUCCACCAGUUGCUGUCAAAAAUAACACUAUCAGGAUACAGGAGGACAAAGGACCGACUCCAAUUUACAUUGCUCGUAUGCUGGAUCUGUUUCAAGACCGUGACUGUCCUAGGGUCACCCCUAUAGUCGGCAUAUCAAAGACUACUGCAGGGACAGAUGUUAGCGAGUAUUUUACUGUUAACACCACAACAGGAUUUCUGUAUCAAAUGAAGAA